AGUUCUGCAGAUAGAAGAAAACAAAAGGAAUUCUACUUUAUUUCACUUUGGCUGACCUUUAUGAGCAUCCAUCAGGUGCCAGGUUUCAUGCUAUCUUCACAUUCAUUAUCUCCCAUGGUCACUGCAACAUCUUUGUGAGGCAGACGUGGAUGCUUCCAAUAUAUAGGAUUCUUGCCCUCAGGGAGCUCACAGUUUAGCACAAUGGUACAUGACUAUAAUUAAAAGGGAAAUAACAAAAGGUAUAAGGGCAUACAAAAACGGAUGAAGAGGUUUGAAAGAGGUGGGACACUUGUAUAUGAGUUCAGCUUCCUAUUGUACUCCAAUUAAAAUCCAAACUCCUCACCACAGACUACAAGACCUAUCAGGAUCUGCCUCCUGUCCCCCUUUCAACCAUGUCAGUUUCUUGACAUCCCUCCAUCUCACUCUCAUAGUCCAGCCACACAGGCCAAACACACAAACGUCAUUUCCACCUUUGCAUUUGCUGCUUUUCCCUCUGCCUGGAAUUCUUUUCCUUUUGGCUUUUCCAGCGGAUGGUUGGGUCCUUCUCAUCCUUAAGUCUCAGCUCAAACUACCCUAUUUAAUGUGGGAUUCCCCAUAAUUCUCUAUCUUUUCACCCUAUUGUUUUAUUCAAAGAGUUUCCCUCAACUAGAAAAAUUUUUUUUUCUAUUUUUGCAUACUUUCUGAUGAUUAUCUCCCUGACCAAAGUGUGAGCUCUGGCCCUUGUUGUCUUAUUUCCGAUUGUAUUCCCCAGUGUCUAAAACACAGUGCUUGGAGCUUUGUAAAUGCUCAAUAAUUAUUUGUUAUUGUUGUUUAAUGAAGUGAAAACUGAGUAGUCAGGUAGACAGGUCAGACUCAAUAGGGAAGGCGUUCUCAGAUUAGCAGAAUAAUAUGAGUAAAGGCCUGCAGGUGCAUAAUCACAGGAUGAAUGUGCUGUGGAAUUUGGGGCAUGAGAGGCAGGUUAGAAGCUCUGAGGCUUCUAGGAGUUUGGGGUGUGAGAGGCAGGUAAACAGCAGAGGUGUCUCCCAGCUCUGGUCCCCAUUCUGACAGUGGGGGGAUAGGCUGUCCUUGAUAAAGGCUAAGGCCUGAGGAACAACACCCACCCCCACCCAUGCUGUGCUCCCUUUGAAGCUACAUGGUACGAAAGCAAGAUAAGGUGAUACCAUCAUUACUGUCAUUAACAUGAAUGGACAGAAAAAUUUUCUGACACAGAUAAAAGAGAAGUAAGAGUUGGCAGGAAGGAAAUGGUCAGUGGUAUGGUGGAACUGGUUUGCAUUAGCUAGCCAGAGCUGACUGUACCCAUCUCUUUCCAACUCUGUGUCCAGAAAUGCUCAAUUGGAUAGCUUGAAAUUGGCCACGAUGGGAGUACACCAUAGAAAUCAGCAAAUGCUACAAAUUAGGGCUCUCCCCCUGAGAAACAUGACUGUUAAACACUUGCCAGCACAUCCCUAGAAACAGUAUGAAUGGUUGAAGCAACGUGGAUUCCUGAAGAUUCAGAUUCUAGAAGAUAGUGUGUUUGUAGAGGAUGAGAGGUAGCAAAUAGCUUAUGGGAGAAUAGGAGGUUCCUCCAGUAAUUUCCCUGAGGAUCACUGAGGCCAGGGCUCAGGAAAAAACCCAGGUUGUUGUGAUGCCUGAGCUGGGUCUCUGAGGAAUGAUGGUGGGUCCUAGGAGGCAGAGAAUGGUCUAACGGAAUACCAACCUGUGGACUGUACUGACUCGGCAUGUAGCCAUCCCGGAAGUAAACCACAGCAACUUCCUGGCCGUCCCUAGAACACAGGAUGGAGAAAGCUGCUGGGUUAAAUUAUAACUGAUAUGUUCAGUGGUUUAGUGUAUUUUAGGGUGCAUCAAAAUGACUGGCUUUUUUCAAAGUCAGUCUGCACAGGUUGCCUAGACUGUAGUUCCCUGGAAGCAAAGAAAGUAGCUACGCAUACCACCACUUCUUCCACUAAAAACAUGAAGGUAUGCAGUAAGGAAUGCUUUAGAAUAUUCCAGAUCUAGAGUCAUUAGAGGAAGGCCAGAGGGAAACAUGAAGGCAACUAGAAUCAAACCAGAUAAAUACAUUUUAAAAAAGGGCUAAAAAUUACUGAGCCUCAGAAUCAUAUUGCCAUGCCUAACAAAACACACUUAUACUACUUAAAAUAGCUGAAACUAGGCUGAGAUUCUUUGAAACGGUGGAUGUGAGGGUAUGGAGAUGCAAAAUUAUGAGUCUAGUCAAGACACAGACUGCCUUGAGUCAAGGCCAGAGGCCAAACUCAGAAUCUGACAAGAUGGUCGGGCUUCCUCGAGGAUUAUCAAGGAAACCCAGCAUUUGCUGGCAGAACCAGUUCCUCGCAUUAAAGCAGAACCAGAUGAGAACAAUGCCCAUGAUUUUCAUGUGGUCAUUGCUGGCCCCCAGGAUGCCCCCUUUGAGGGAGGGCCUUUUAAACUUGAACUAUUCUUUCCAGAAGAAUACCUGACGGAAGCCCCUAAAGGGUGUUUCAUGACCAAAAUUUAUCAUCCUAAUGUAGAUAAGUUGGGAAAAAUAUGUUUAGAUAUUUUGAAAGAUAAGUGGGCCCCAGCACUGCAGAUCUGCACAGUUCCACUAUCAAUCCAGGCUUUGUUAAAUGCUCCCAAUCCAGAUGAUCCAUUAGCAAAUGAUGUAGCAGAGCAGUGGAAGACCAACGAAGCCCAAGCCAUAGAGCUAGAGCAUGGACUAGGCUAUAUGCCAUGAAUAAUAUUCAAAAUCGAUCUGAUCAUCAAGUGUGCAUCACUUCUCCUGUUCUGCCAAAACUUCUUUUUUGUUUGCAUUUAAUGGACACGGUCUUAAAAACACUACAGAAUAAAAGCCCAGACAUCUUCAGUCCUUUGGUGAUUAAAUGCACAUUAUCUAUGAUUAAAAGACAAACCUAUGUCUUGUCUUGAUUCACGGUUGUAAAGCAUGAGCAGAGACUAGAAGUACCAUCUGGAUUGUUGUGAAACGUUUAAAAGCAGUGGCCCCUCUCUGCUUUUAUUCAUUUCUCCCAUCCUGGUUUAAGUAUAAAGCACUGUGCAUGAAGGUAGUUGUCAGGGUUAGCUGCAGGGGUGUGAGUGUUUUCCUUUAUUUUAUUUUAUUUUAUUUUUUGAGGGGGAGAGGUAGUUUUAGUUUAAUUUUAUGGGCUCCUUUCCCCCUUUUUAUGGUGAUCUAAUUGCAUUGGUUAAAAGCAGCUAACCAGUUCUUUAGAAUAUGCUCUCUAGCCAAGUCUAACUUUAUUUAGACAUGGUAGAUGGACAAGCUUGACUGUCUGAACCAAUAUGGGAACAUGAAACAAACAUCACAGCCUUCACUAAUAACACUGUGACUUUGCUGUCAAGUAUAGAAUCCUUCCUUCAAGAAAAAGCUUCUGACCAUUUUGUAUGGCUUGUCUGGAAAUUUCUGUAAAUCUUAUGUUUUAGUAAAAUAAAUUUUGUUGUUCUAAAAAAAAAGACAAAGACUGUCUUUUUAAAUUUCUUCCCCUUUGAUUUAUUUGAUAUUGUCUGAUAUAUCUGGAAAGUAAAUUAAUGACUUUGUUAUAAAAGCACAUUUUGAAAAUA
This is an RNA transcript of Mirounga angustirostris (Northern elephant seal), 3546 nucleotides long. It is a transcript of the gene named ubiquitin-conjugating enzyme E2 N-like, with no coding region annotated. NCBI's taxonomy places the organism in Eukaryota, Metazoa, Chordata, Mammalia, Carnivora, Phocidae. The transcript has a single exon. The record is from RefSeq and is a predicted model, not a curated record.